GUUAAACAUUCAUUCAUUCAUUGAUAUUCAUUGACUUGUGGCAAUAGUUGCCUAUGCCUUCUAAGUGUAGGCAAAAGGAAAUAAAAUUAUAAUAACUGAAUUUAAAAUAGUCCUAAAAAACCUGUUACAGUUAAACCUAGUGUUCAAGGUUAUAAACAGUGAACAAGUACAAAGGUAACAUAGUAUGUGCAUGUCUUGCAAAACAUUUUAGACUAACUGCAUCUGUGGGUCGUGCAAUAUUCAAAACAGGUCAAUGAAUCCCCUGGUUGAAGAUGUUAACUGGUGACAACCUAGCGCAGCACAUCUGAGUAAGAGGUGAGGUCCACUGGAAAUACCAUAUGGCGUGCGACACGAGCUGUGCCACCUUGUUUAGGUGUUUCGUUCUCAGCAAUGGUGUAGACCGCUUGAGUUGCAGGCUGGAGGGGUGUGCUCGAGUUCCCACCGAAAAGUCUGUUGUUGUAACGGCAGUCUCCCUCAACACUUAUCUUGUGAUCACUGGAAAUCUUCCAAGGCAUCGGGAACAGCUGGGUGAGGCCGAAGUAACCGCAUAUUGCCAGUCGUCCCCUGUGAAUCGGUGACCAGAUAUGAAGAUGCAACUCGACUCGUUGACGGCUUAGCCACUGCAUCAAAGUCUUCCCUGGACAGCCUGGUACAGGCCAAAUCAGACCCACACAGUGACACUCCUCAAAGAGUUAUCUCCCCUUGACCAGCCGUCAACAUAUAACCAAGUGACUUUCGUGAAGUGCAAAAUGUUAGUAUUCAUGUUGGAGCAAUAAAAUUUAUAAACCGAAAAAUAUUUUUUGUUCUU
Long non-coding RNA from Gigantopelta aegis, 808 nucleotides. RefSeq lists it as uncharacterized. NCBI's taxonomy places the organism in Eukaryota, Metazoa, Mollusca, Gastropoda, Neomphalida, Peltospiridae. The transcript has 4 exons. The record is from RefSeq and is a predicted model, not a curated record.